This 74-nucleotide transfer RNA is filed under the name Echinoderes svetlanae. RNAcentral describes it as "tRNA-Leu". Lineage: Eukaryota; Metazoa; Kinorhyncha; Cyclorhagida; Echinoderidae. The record is from RNAcentral.
UUGAUUAUGGCAGAAAACAGAUGUGGAAAAUUUAGGAUUUUCUUAUAACCAUUAUUAUAAUUGGUUUAAUCAAA